This 90-nucleotide transfer RNA is filed under the name Tissierellia bacterium. Its description in RNAcentral is "tRNA-Ser". It matches the Rfam family "tRNA". From Rfam's summary of the family: Transfer RNA (tRNA) molecules are approximately 80 nucleotides in length. Their secondary structure includes four short double-helical elements and three loops (D, anti-codon, and T loops). The record is from RNAcentral. Lineage: Bacteria; Bacillati; Bacillota; Tissierellia.
GGAGAGUUGUCCGAGAGGUUGAAGGAGCUCGCCUGGAAAGCGGGUAUACGGGGAACCGUAUCGAGGGUUCGAAUCCCUCACUCUCCGCCA